Molecule: ribosomal RNA, 468 nt
Filed under: uncultured bacterium
Lineage: Bacteria
Description: partial 16S ribosomal RNA
Rfam family: Bacterial small subunit ribosomal RNA
Source: RNAcentral
GACGAACGCUGGCGGCGUGCUUAACACAUGCAAGUCGAACGGAAAGGCCCUGCUUUUGUGGGGUGCUCGAGUGGCGAACGGGUGAGUAACACGUGAGUAACCUGCCCUUGACUUUGGGAUAACUUCAGGAAACUGGGGCUAAUACCGGAUAGGAGCUCCUGCUGCAUGGUGGGGGUUGGAAAGUUUCGGCGGUUGGGGAUGGACUCGCGGCUUAUCAGCUUGUUGGUGGGGUAGUGGCUUACCAAGGCUUUGACGGGUAGCCGGCCUGAGAGGGUGACCGGCCACAUUGGGACUGAGGUACGGCCCAGACUCCUACGGGAGGCAGCAGUGGGGAAUAUUGCACAAUGGGCGGAAGCCUGAUGCAGCGACGCCGCGUGCGGGAUGACGGCCUUCGGGUUGUAAACCGCUUUCGCCUGUGACGAAGCGUGAGUGACGGUAAUGGGUAAAGAAGCACCGGCUAACUACGUG